AGAAGUUUAGGUUAAGCCAGACCAAGAGCCUUCAAAGCUCUAAGCAAGUAAUAAGUACUUAGCUUCUG
RNAcentral lists this transfer RNA (68 nucleotides) under Ochotona curzoniae (black-lipped pika). RNAcentral's name for it is "tRNA-Trp". The record is from RNAcentral. Lineage: Eukaryota; Metazoa; Chordata; Mammalia; Lagomorpha; Ochotonidae.